This 59-nucleotide transfer RNA is filed under the name Loxodonta africana (African savanna elephant). It matches the Rfam family "tRNA", at positions 14 to 71 of the family's 71-position model. From Rfam's summary of the family: Transfer RNA (tRNA) molecules are approximately 80 nucleotides in length. Lineage: Eukaryota; Metazoa; Chordata; Mammalia; Proboscidea; Elephantidae. The record is from Rfam by way of RNAcentral.
AGUGGGUAAGUGCUUGGCUGCUAACCAAAAGGUUGGUGGUUCAAAUCCACCAGCCGCUC